This 496-nucleotide ribosomal RNA is filed under the name uncultured bacterium. RNAcentral's name for it is "partial 16S ribosomal RNA". It matches the Rfam family "Bacterial small subunit ribosomal RNA", at positions 28 to 506 of the family's 1533-position model. The record is from RNAcentral.
GAUGAACGCUGGCGGCGUGCCUAAUACAUGCAAGUCGAGCGAACAGACGAGGAGCUUGCUCCUCUGACGUUAGCGGCGGACGGGUGAGUAACACGUGGAUAACCUACCUAUAAGACUGGGAUAACUUCGGGAAACCGGAGCUAAUACCGGAUAAUAUAUUGAACCGCAUGGUUCAAUAGUGAAAGACGGUUUUGCUGUCACUUAUAGAUGGAUCCGCGCCGCAUUAGCUAGUUGGUAAGGUAACGGCUUACCAAGGCGACGAUGCGUAGCCGACCUGAGAGGGUGAUCGGCCACACUGGAACCGAGACACGGUCCAGACUCCUACGGGAGGCAGCAGGAGGGAAUCUUCCGCAAUGGGCGGAAGCCUGACGGAGCAACGCCGCGGGAGUGAUGAAGGUCUGCGGAUCGUAAAACUCUGUUAUUAGGGAAGAACAAAUGUGUAAGUAACUAUGCACGUCUGGACGGUACCUAAUCAGAAAGCCACGGCGAACUACGU